This 219-nucleotide unclassified non-coding RNA is filed under the name Hevea brasiliensis (rubber tree). Lineage: Eukaryota; Viridiplantae; Streptophyta; Magnoliopsida; Malpighiales; Euphorbiaceae. The record is from RNAcentral.
GGACAAAGCGUUCGAAGUAUCACCAGAGUUAGGUUCAGAAUUGGUGUUCUCAGAUACGCUUGAACCUUGAGAUACAUUGGCGCAUAAGUUUUUCGUCCAUGUUGCAACAGCAUUCAUGACUUCAACUCCAAACCAAACUUCACCAGCAUGGCCAUGCUCUUGAAAAUUCAAAAGAUCCUCUGCAUAUGAAUCAUCCCAGUAGCUUUGUAGUCCCAGCAU